RNAcentral lists this transfer RNA (89 nucleotides) under Planctomycetota bacterium. RNAcentral describes it as "Planctomycetes bacterium tRNA-His". It matches the Rfam family "tRNA". Rfam says of the family: Transfer RNA (tRNA) molecules are approximately 80 nucleotides in length. Their secondary structure includes four short double-helical elements and three loops (D, anti-codon, and T loops). Further hydrogen bonds mediate the characteristic L-shaped molecular structure. tRNAs have two regions of fundamental functional importance: the anti-codon, which is responsible for specific mRNA codon recognition, and the 3' end, to which the tRNAs corresponding amino acid is attached (by aminoacyl-tRNA synthetases). tRNAs cope with the degeneracy of the genetic code in two manners: having more than one tRNA (with a specific anti-codon) for a particular amino acid; and 'wobble' base-pairing, i.e. permitting non-standard base-pairing at the 3rd anti-codon position. Lineage: Bacteria; Pseudomonadati; Planctomycetota. The record is from RNAcentral.
GGGGCUAUGGCGCAGUUGGUCAGCGCGCCUGCUUAUGGCCGUUAGCGGUUAUAGGCAGGAGGUCACGGGUUCGAGUCCCGUUAGCCUCC